Molecule: ribosomal RNA, 432 nt
Filed under: uncultured bacterium
Lineage: Bacteria
Description: bacterial SSU rRNA
Rfam family: Bacterial small subunit ribosomal RNA
Source: RNAcentral
AACGAACGCUGGCGGCAUGCUUAACACAUGCAAGUCGAACGAGACCUUCGGGUCUAGUGGCGCACGGGUGCGUAACGCGUGGGAAUCUGCCCUUAGGUACGGAAUAACUCAGAGAAAUUUGUGCUAAUACCGUAUGAUGUCGAAAGACCAAAGAUUUAUCGCCUAAGGAUGAGCCCGCGUAAGAUUAGCUUGUUGGUGAGGUAAAAGCUCACCAAGGCGACGAUCUUUAGCUGGUCUGAGAGGAUGAUCAGCCACACUGGGACUGAGACACGGCCCAGACUCCUACGGAGGCAGCAGUGGGGAAUAUUGGACAAUGGGCGAAAGCCUGAUCCAGCAAUGCCGCGUGAGUGAUGAAGGCCUUAGGGUUGUAAAGCUCUUUUACCAGGGAUGAUAAUGACAGUACCUGGAGAAUAAGCUCCGGCUAACUCCGUG